GACAUUUGGUAGAGACUGUUGAGGCCACCUGGCCCCAGCAGACCCCAGAAAAAUGGCCACAUCCGCUGGUAUUGGAACAAGGUUGUGAAGGAUGAAGCCUGGUGCCAGAUGUGU
This 114-nucleotide ribosomal RNA is filed under the name Panthera pardus (leopard). The record is from RNAcentral. Lineage: Eukaryota; Metazoa; Chordata; Mammalia; Carnivora; Felidae.